This 384-nucleotide ribosomal RNA is filed under the name Curtobacterium sp. RNAcentral describes it as "bacterial SSU rRNA". It matches the Rfam family "Bacterial small subunit ribosomal RNA", at positions 67 to 450 of the family's 1533-position model. The record is from RNAcentral. Lineage: Bacteria; Bacillati; Actinomycetota; Actinomycetes; Micrococcales; Microbacteriaceae.
CGAUGAUGCCCAGCUUGCUGGGUGGAUUAGUGGCGAACGGGUGAGUAACACGUGAGUAACCUGCCCCUGACUCUGGGAUAAGCGUUGGAAACGACGUCUAAUACUGGAUAUGACUACCGGCCGCAUGGUCUGGUGGUGGAAAGAUUUUUUGGUUGGGGAUGGACUCGCGGCCUAUCAGCUUGUUGGUGAGGUAAUGGCUCACCAAGGCGACGACGGGUAGCCGGCCUGAGAGGGUGACCGGCCACACUGGGACUGAGACACGGCCCAGACUCCUACGGGAGGCAGCAGUGGGGAAUAUUGCACAAUGGGCGAAAGCCUGAUGCAGCAACGCCGCGUGAGGGAUGACGGCCUUCGGGUUGUAAACCUCUUUUAGUAGGGAAGAAG